Rhea pennata is the source of this 591-nucleotide long non-coding RNA. RefSeq lists it as uncharacterized. The record is from RefSeq and is a predicted model, not a curated record. The transcript has 2 exons. NCBI's taxonomy places the organism in Eukaryota, Metazoa, Chordata, Aves, Rheiformes, Rheidae.
AGCAGCACAGCCCUGACACCAGCGCGAGGCCUGCCAAGCUGCAGGUCGGAAACCCACAGCUGUAGCCCAAACUUUCCAACGGGGGAGGAAUUGGAAUACCGCGGUCCGGGGGAGUUUCAGGCGGGGGUGACCGCGCGGCGGCGGGGCAGCCGGGGAGGCGGGCGCCGGGGCUGGGGGGCGCUGACGGGGUGCGGCAGCCGCAGCCGCUGGCGGGUGCCCAGAGGGCCGCUCACACGCUUGCUCGCCUGCCGCCACCGGCCAUGCGGGGCUUUCAGCGGGUGUCAGGGCUGCUGGCGUCGGCCCUGCGGAGCCAGCGGGUGCCGCGGGCACGGGUGACCUCCAAGCCCCCCGAGGAGCCGCUCUCUGCCGUGGAGCAAGCCAUCGCGCUUUCUGUGAUGUUUUCAUGCUUCCUGCUUCCAACCGCCUGGAUCCUGGCACACCUGGAACACUACAAGAGCAGAUCAGAGUAAGAAAUGGCAAGAGGAACAUAGAGCCAGUUGAGAGCAGAAGUAUGAAGACAAGACUACAGAACAGAUCUUUCCCUGGGGAAGAACUCUUUGAGUUUGUUCAUUAAAAUAGCAUUAAACAUAA